UACGUAGGGUGCAAGCGUUGUCCGGAAUUAUUGGGCGUAAAGAGCUCGUAGGCGGUUUGUCGCGUCUGCUGUGAAAACUCGGGGCUUAACCCCGGGCCUGCAGUGGGUACGGGCAGACUAGAGUUCGGUAGGGGAGACUGGAAUUCCUGGUGUAGCGGUGAAAUGCGCAGAUAUCAGGAGGAACACCGGUGGCGAAGGCGGGUCUCUGGGCCGAUACUGACGCUGAGGAGCGAAAGCGUGGGGAGCGAACAGG
This 253-nucleotide ribosomal RNA is filed under the name uncultured bacterium. RNAcentral's name for it is "partial 16S ribosomal RNA". It matches the Rfam family "Bacterial small subunit ribosomal RNA", at positions 524 to 776 of the family's 1533-position model. The record is from RNAcentral.